Molecule: small RNA, 77 nt
Filed under: Xanthomonas oryzae
Lineage: Bacteria; Pseudomonadati; Pseudomonadota; Gammaproteobacteria; Lysobacterales; Lysobacteraceae
Also listed under: 2 other names
Description: sX9 sRNA
Rfam family: Xanthomonas sRNA sX9
Source: RNAcentral
AUGGACCACGCGUCCACUGCGGUUGUGAGCGCGCCGUCCGCGCACCCCUGACAGCGGCUCGCUCCGUUUCGUCAGCC